GCAGGGGGGAAUAUUGGACAAUGGGCGCAAGCCUGAUCCAGCCAUACCGCGUGGGUGAAGAAGGCCUUCGGGUUGUAAAGCCCUUUUGUUGGGAAAGAAAUCCAGCUGGCUAAUACCCGGUUGGGAUGACGGUACCCAAAGAAUAAGCACCGGCUAACUUCGUGCCAGCAGCCGCGGUAAUACGAAGGGUGCAAGCGUUACUCGGAAUUACUGGGCGUAAAGCGUGCGUAGGUGGUCGUUUAAGUCCGUUGUGAAAGCCCUGGGCUCAACCUGGGAACUGCAGUGGAUACUGGGCGACUAGAGUGUGGUAGAGGGUAGCGGAAUUCCUGGUGUAGCAGUGAAAUGCGUAGAGAUCAGGAGGAACAUCCAUGGCGAAGGCAGCUACCUGGACCAACACUGACACUGAGGCACGAAAGCGUGGGGAGCAAACAGGAUUAGAUACCCUGGUAGUCCACGCCCUAAACGAUGCGAACCGGAUGUUGGGUGCAAUUUGGCACGCAGUAUCGAAAAUGAAGCG
This 517-nucleotide ribosomal RNA is filed under the name uncultured Stenotrophomonas sp. RNAcentral describes it as "bacterial SSU rRNA". It matches the Rfam family "Bacterial small subunit ribosomal RNA", at positions 351 to 859 of the family's 1533-position model. The record is from RNAcentral. Lineage: Bacteria; Pseudomonadati; Pseudomonadota; Gammaproteobacteria; Lysobacterales; Lysobacteraceae.